UGGGAGGAAGGGUGGGGAUGACGUCAAGUCACGCAGUGGCCCUUACGGUCCGGGGCUACACACGUGCUACAAUGGCCGGUACAAAGGGUUGCGAAGCCGUGAGGUGGAGCGAAUCUCAAAAAGCCGGCCUCAGUUCGGAUUGGAGGCUGCAACUCGCCUCCAUGAAGUCGGAAUCGCUAGUAACCGCAGAUCAGCUACGUUGCGGUGAAUACGUUCCCGGGCCUU
RNAcentral lists this ribosomal RNA (225 nucleotides) under uncultured Geobacter sp. RNAcentral describes it as "partial 16S ribosomal RNA". It matches the Rfam family "Bacterial small subunit ribosomal RNA", at positions 1163 to 1382 of the family's 1533-position model. Lineage: Bacteria; Pseudomonadati; Thermodesulfobacteriota; Desulfuromonadia; Geobacterales; Geobacteraceae. The record is from RNAcentral.